Molecule: ribosomal RNA, 433 nt
Filed under: uncultured bacterium
Lineage: Bacteria
Description: partial 16S ribosomal RNA
Rfam family: Bacterial small subunit ribosomal RNA
Source: RNAcentral
AACGAACGCUGGCGGCAUGCCUAACACAUGCAAGUCGAACGAGACCUUCGGGUCUAGUGGCGCACGGGUGCGUAACGCGUGGGAACCUGCCCUUAGGCUCGGAAUAACUCCCCGAAAGGGGUGCUAAUACCGGAUAAUGUCUUCGGACCAAAGAUUUAUCGCCUUUGGAUGGGCCCGCGUUGGAUUAGCUAGUUGGUAGGGUAAAAGCCUACCAAGGCGACGAUCCAUAGCUGGUCUGAGAGGAUGAUCAACCACACUGGGACUGAGACACGGCCCAGACUCCUACGGGAGGCAGCAGUGGGGAAUAUUGGACAAUGGGCGAAAGCCUGAUCCAGCAAUGCCGCGUGAGUGAUGAAGGCCUUAGGGUUGUAAAGCUCUUUUACCCGGGAUGAUAAUGACAGUACCGGGAGAAUAAGCUCCGGCUAACUCCGUG